Molecule: ribosomal RNA, 506 nt
Filed under: uncultured bacterium
Lineage: Bacteria
Description: partial 16S ribosomal RNA
Rfam family: Bacterial small subunit ribosomal RNA
Source: RNAcentral
AGUGAACGCUGGCGGUAGGCCUAACACAUGCAAGUCGAACGGCAGCACAGAGGAGCUUGCUCCUUGGGUGGCGAGUGGCGGACGGGUGAGGAAUACAUCGGAAUCUACUCUGUCGUGGGGGAUAACGUAGGGAAACUUACGCUAAUACCGCAUACGACCUACGGGUGAAAGCAGGGGAUCUUCGGACCUUGCGCGAUUGAAUGAGCCGAUGUCGGAUUAGCUAGUUGGCGGGGUAAAGGCCCACCAAGGCGACGAUCCGUAGGUGGUCUGAGAGGAUGAUAAGCCACACUGGAACGGAGGCACGGUCCAGACUCCUACGGGAGGCAGCAGUGGGGAAUAUUGGACAAUGGGCGCAAGCCUGAUCCAGCCAUACCGCGUGGGUGAAGAAGGCCUUCGGGUUGUAAAGCCCUUUUGUUGGGAAAGAAAUCCAUCUGGUUAAUACCCGGAUGGGAUGACGGUACCCAAAGAAUAAGCACCGGCUAACUUCGUGCCAGCCGCCGCGGUAA